Molecule: ribosomal RNA, 254 nt
Filed under: uncultured bacterium
Lineage: Bacteria
Description: partial 16S ribosomal RNA
Rfam family: Bacterial small subunit ribosomal RNA
Source: RNAcentral
CACGUAGGGGGCGAGCGUUGUCCGGAAUCAUUGGGCGUAAAGAGCUCGUAGGAGGCUCAGUAAGUCGGGUGUGAAACCCCCAGGCUCAACCUGGGGACGCCACCCGAUACUGCUGUGGCUAGAGUCCAGUAGGGGAGUGUGGAAUUCCCGGUGUAGCGGUGAAAUGCGCAGAUAUCGGGAGGAACACCAGCGGCGAAGGCGGCACUCUGGGCUGGAACUGACGCUGAGGAGCGAAAGCGUGGGUAGCAAACAGG